AACGAACGCUGGCGGCGUGCCUAACACAUGCAAGUCAAGCGAGAAAGGGGUAGCAAUACCCUGAGUAAAGCGGCGAACGGGUGAGUAAUACGUAGGCAACCUACCCCUAAGACCGGGAUAACCCGUCGAAAGAUGGACUAAUACUGGAUAAGACCACUAGGAGCCUCGGCUCCUGUGGUAAAAAGAUAGCCUCUGCUUGCAAGCUAUCGCUUAGUGAUGGGCCUGCGCACCAUUAGCUAGUUGGUAGGGUAACGGCCUACCAAGGCAAAGAUGGUUAGCUGGUCUGAGAGGACGACCAGCCACACUGGGACUGAGACACGGCCCAGACUCCUACGGGAGGCAGCAGUGGGGAAUCUUGCGCAAUGGGUGAAAGCCUGACGCAGCAACGCCGCGUGGGUGAUGAAGGCCUUCGGGUCGUAAAGCCCUGUCGGGAGGAACGAAUUUUCCUAGAGUGAAUAAUUCUAGGAGUUGACGGUACCUCCAAAGGAAGCACCGGCUAACUCCGUGCC
Molecule: ribosomal RNA, 509 nt
Filed under: uncultured bacterium
Lineage: Bacteria
Description: bacterial SSU rRNA
Rfam family: Bacterial small subunit ribosomal RNA
Source: RNAcentral